This 479-nucleotide ribosomal RNA is filed under the name uncultured bacterium. RNAcentral describes it as "bacterial SSU rRNA". It matches the Rfam family "Bacterial small subunit ribosomal RNA", at positions 8 to 503 of the family's 1533-position model. The record is from RNAcentral.
AGAGUUUGAUCCUGGCUCAGAUUGAACGCUGGCGGUAUGCUUAACACAUGCAAGUCGAACGGUAACAGCAAGAGCUUGCUCUUGGCUGACGAGUGGCGGACGGGUGAGUAACGCGUAGGAAUCUGCCUUACAGUGGGGGAUAGCCCGGAGAAAUCCGGAUUAAUACCGCAUACGCCCUACGGGGGAAAGCUGGGGAUCUUCGGACCUGGCACUGUUAGAUGAGCCUGCGUUAGAUUAGCUUGUUGGUGGGGUAAUGGCCUACCAAGGCGACGAUCAGUAGCCGACCUGAGAGGGUGAUCGGCCACACUGGAACUGAGACACGGUCCAGACUCCUACGGGAGGCAGCAGUGGGGAAUAUUGCACAAUGGGCGCAAGCCUGAUGCAGCAACGCCGCGUGAGUGAUGAAGGCCUUAGGGUCGUAAAGCUCUGUCCUAAGGGAAGAAUAAAUGACGGUACCUUAGGAGAAGCCCCGCUAACUA